AACGCGAAGAACCUUACCAGGGUUUGACAUCCUCGGACAUCCCAUGAAAGUGGGCUUUCUUCGCAAGAAGACCGGGAGACAGGUGUUGCAUGGUUGUCGUCAGCUCGUGUCGUGAGAUGUUGGGUUAAGUCCCGCAACGAGCGCAACCCUUGUCCUAUGUUGCCAGCAACCGAUUCGUCGGGUUGGGGACUCGUGGGAGACUGCCGGGGUCAACUCGGAGGAAGGUGGGGACGACGUCAAAUCAUCAUGCCCCUUAUGUCCUGGGCUGCACGCAUGCUACAAUGGCCGGUACAAAGGGCUGCGAUACCGUGAGGUGGAGCGAAUCCCAUAAAGCCGGUCUCAGUUCGGAUCGGGGUCUGCAACUCGACCCCGUGAAGUCGGAGUCGCUAGUAAUCGCAGAUCAGCAAUGCUGCGGUGAAUACGUUCCCGGGUCUUGUACACACCGA
Molecule: ribosomal RNA, 446 nt
Filed under: uncultured soil bacterium
Lineage: Bacteria
Description: bacterial SSU rRNA
Rfam family: Bacterial small subunit ribosomal RNA
Source: RNAcentral